Pseudopipra pipra is the source of this 5119-nucleotide long non-coding RNA. RefSeq lists it as uncharacterized. Lineage: Eukaryota; Metazoa; Chordata; Aves; Passeriformes; Pipridae. The record is from RefSeq and is a predicted model, not a curated record. The transcript has 3 exons.
UGCCAGCGGACAGUCCUGGCUGAGGGCCUGCCUCCAGUCCGAGCACAACUCUCGGGGCUGACACCCGUCCCGAGUCGACCGGUCUCAGUUCGGAGCCGCCGGCAUGAGAGAGGCUGAACAGACAGACGGACACAGAGCGUCCGGUGCCCAGCCUCAGGGAGAAGGGGCAGAAAGUGAAAGGGGACGCGGAGAAGUGACAGCAAGAGAAGCGGGCGGUGAGGCUCUCCGCUCUCAGCCCACCUCGGGGCUCUUCAGAUAGCCAUAGGCACAAGAAUACAGGACACACACAGAGCCCCCUCGCAGACAGGCACCAAAUACGUCUCUCCCUCCUGCGAGGUAACUGGGAGAUAAGGCUCCGGCAGAUAAGGGCUCCAGGCACCGGCAUCGGAUAUCCCUCGGGCUCCCCAGCAAGGCGCAGCCGACGCUGCGCCGCGCUGCCCUCAGAGCGGCCGAGGGCGGAGAGGCAGGAGCAGAAGAGCGAGGAAGAACAAGGGAAAUCGCGGCGAGGCAAGAAAAGAGAAGGGGGCCAAACCUGGUGCCGAUGCCCCGCAUGAGGCCGGGGCGCGAGGCCGCGGCGGGCGGUAAAUCCAGUGCGGCGGGCGUGAGCGGCGGCGGCGAGUCCGGUGGCGGCGGCCGCCGGUUCAUGUAUAAAAAGGAGAGAGGAGGCGCCUCUCGCAGCCCUGCCGGAAAACUGCAGGCAGCCGGCCCUGAUUGGGCUCGGCCAGCCCUAAACAAACACGGGACUCCGCAGGGGUGCCAGUCCCGGCGGCCAGCCGGCCCGCCGCGCCGCAGUCCCGGGGGUGGGGUGCCCGCAGCUACAGGGCUACGGACCCCUCCUUGGGGAGCGGGAAGGAGCAGAGAGGGGACUGCCCUCUCAGAUGCCACAGUCUUUUAUCUUCCUGUCAUGGUUUCAAACCAUGACAGUUCCUUUUUUUUUUUUUUUUUUUACCCAGAAAUAAUACACACUCUUCCCUCCUCCCCGGAUAAUAUCUUCUUUAUGGUGAAUAUUCAGCGUUUUGGGUUUUUUUUCUUCACACCUCCCGGCAUCGCAGCGAGCAUCCCCUGGCAGCGGCCCGGAAGGAUGUGUGCUUGGCUCUCGCCCUAAGCAACCAGGUUUCCCUCCUCCAAAUCUCCCUAUUUUUGCUCCUUAAAAUAAGAGCUAUCCGAGGGUAAAAAAUGUGGCUCCUCCUUGAGUUGCCCCAACCGUCAGGUGAAACCAAAGCAAGCUGUGGGAUGUGUCCAUCCCAGCAGCUGGCGGUAGGCAUUUUCCCUCCGUUUCUUUCUUAUCCCCCCCCCCCCAGCCCUCUUAUCUCAGCUGUGUACAAACUGAUAUGGUACUUAGCAGGAAAGUGACUGGAAAUUAAAAUAACUUCGUUCACCAGAGGUUAUCAGUUGGAUAUCUGUCAUCAUCAGUUUGUACAGAGAGUCAUCGGCGGCUAAAGGCUGAACUAGAGCAGAGCCCGGCUCUCGGCAGCCGGCAGGCAUGAGCCCUCCCGACAGAAACCGAGCCCAAACCUGCUGAUGCGCGGUGCUGCCGUUCCUGGGAUACGAUAAGAAAACCCGGCUUAAACUGGGACCAGCGUGGGAAACCGUUUUCAGUCACCCCUUUCCUCUCCGUUUCGGGUUUGCUCUUGAACCGCUCAAAUAUAGUCUUCGGUUCCUAACUUUUCAUUACGUCACUCCUUUCCCAAAUCCCACUCUUCUGACGUAACUUUCGCCCCGGAGCUCCGGGAGGCUCUCAGAUACUAAAAAUGUCUGAGGCUACUCAUUCAGCUGGAAUUUGUCCCACGAUGACUUAAGCAUGAAGAGCCAGUGCCACAGACCUCCAUGGAAAUUUCUCUUUAGGCAAUAAACCUUGCUAAUGGAUCCGUUCUGAAGUUCACAACAAGAAUUGCCACUUGGCCCUUCAAGUCAUGGUUUUGACUUAACUAAGCUGGCUUUAAGCAGACUCUGUUAAAAACUCCAGAUGCAUAUUUGGUCAGCUAAUGCCAAGUUUUCUGCUGUCACAGCUCGGAAGCUGUUGGUCCCAAACAAACCCAAUCAGCCCUAAUUCAGCAGCUACCAUAGUUCCUGUAAUGAACUUAAUAGUAAAGGUAAUGUAGAUGCUCUCUGUGAUUUAUGUCAGGCUCUGUCAGGUUUAACAGCACCUCUUUAUGAUGCAGAUGUCGUGCUGCUGCAUGGACACUAAAGAUGGCAGAUCCAGCUCUGUGGCCAGUACACCCUUAUAAACUUACAUUGUGUUUACUUCCGGGGGCCAGUGACCCCAGCAGAAAGGACAACAGUGAGCACUGACAUCAGUGGCAUCUCUUGGUGCCACAGAUAAAUCCAACAGAGCUGGGACUGUCAGAGCCUGGGAGUGCUGGGAGAUGAAAACUUUUCCUUAGCUACUUUCGGCUUUCCUCCAAGCACCCCAUAUGUGACACCCUAUGCAGUACCACUCCCCACAGAUCUCCAGCUGGGCUGUAGUGACAACACCUUUAUGUAGCACUACUUAAAUCAAAGUGUUUCAUCUUCUAUACUAAGUCAAACUAUUUGCCUCCAAAAAAGCCCGUAUCAAUCAAAAUGUUUCAUUUUGUCCAAAAUAAAGUUUUUGUGCUGUUUUUUUAAUUAUUUCACCCUUUAAAGAAAAUGAACUUGGAAUCAAAUUAGCAACAAGGUUCAUCUUGAGAAGGCAGACAAAGUGGUUUGCAUUUUCCUCUCUCUUUCAUUUUGGUAACAGGCUUACACCUGGGUAGGUAGGAAAGGUCUGUCAUGCCUGAAACAGAAGCCAAGAACCUCAGCUCCUGAUCCCUGCUUAGCCACCAGAAACUACAGCAAAACUUUUGUUUUCUGCUUGGACAGCAGGACACAGGGAAAGCAACAACCCCUGAACUGGCUGAAACUGCUAUCUGUACUCUGGGUUGAAAGUUUAAAACUUUUUUUUUCUGGAAAAGGUAGAGUCUAACAUGAAUAAGUUCCAAGAUAUUUCACUCAUGGAACUGGAGAGGAGUAUAAUUCAGCCUAAAAUGAGAAUUAAUGCUAUACUCUUAUUUUAGUUCUUACUACCUAUGAGAACAGUUCCUACUCAUCUCACAAACUCUAUCUGUGAUCUGUGCUGUUUUCAAAUGAAUUUGGUUUUGCUUUUGAUAACUUCAACAGAAUUGUUGAAUGACGUUUCCUUUAGAAGGAGUUUUCCAAAGAAAUUAAUCUAAUUUCUGCUUGCAAGAAAUGGAGAAAACAUGUUUUUCUUGUGCCUGCUUGGAACUACAUGUACCUCUGAGGUCCAGAAGGUGACAUAUCUUUCACAAGUGUUUCCUUUAAUAAGUGUAGAUAGGACAAAGUAAUGAUUGUGACCUGUAGCUACUGGAAGGGUAAAAAUAUUCUAUACUGAAAUAUGCUAACCGUAGCUCAGCAUUUGGACUUGUGGAGCAUGGAGCUGACUAGGUUGAGCCCAUGGAGAGAACUGGAAAGCAAACAAUUAAAGCUCAACUGGAAAAGGAAGCCCUAUGAAUUAACCAGGAUUGGACCAAGUCAGCAGGACAAACCCUACAAGAGCUUGGCUGAAUGCUAAUGUGAGUAUUUUUGGGUGAAUUCUUCACGUCGUCUGGGCCUUUUGGAUCUAGCCAGCAUUAUUACAGUGAAAGUAGGAUAUGUUAAACAUUUUGUUAUGAUUGAGGGUAGAAUUGGAGAAAUAUAUUAAGUGGAUGGGAAGGGGGGAGAGUGAUGGGGACAGUCCUAUCCAGGGCUCUGUGACUGUAGCUAAGUGAGCUGAAAAAACACAAGUUUGGAUUCAGCAAGAGCUGCAGUAACAAGGGGGAGUGCCAUUGCCCAGGUUCAAUACAAGGAGAGAAGGACCCACCAUUGUGCUUGCUGCUUGGAAGAUGGGGUGUACAACUCAGUCCUUGCAUCCCUGGACGGCAGCAGGGCCCAGGUGAAAACGCGGCCCCCAAAUGUGCUCUUCCUCAGCACAAGGAAGAAGUGCUGUCUUGGGUCCAUACCCCCAAAGCAGGCACAAAGCUAUGGCCAGCAAACCCAUGGGGUUUCAGUGGCUCUGGUUGGCUCACAGGCUACCUUGGACCAACCCAACUCUUUGCAUAAAAGCAGAAUCCAGUACACCUAGAAUUACACUUUACUAAGAGGAAUAACAAUGCAUAUCCUUUAUGUUACUCAGCACUAUGAUACUUCCCGUAUCUGUUAAUCUGAAUGUCAAAAAUACGCUGUUUAACAGAUUAAAUUAUUUUAUCAAUCCUGUAUUUGGAAGACAGAAACCUGCUGUGCAAAGCUCGAGAAGAAAAUAAAAUCUAAUGAUGAAGGACCAGACUCCUAUGGGACUUUUGCUGGAGAAAGGCCUACAACAAGUUUACCUGUUUGAUUAGAAUGCAGUAAAAUGCAAUUUCCUUUACAUCAUUACACUCUAAUGUCAACCUUAGAAUCACAAAUUCAUUGAAAGCUGAGCAAAACAGCUCAAUUAAUAUUACCAUAUUGGUAAUAAAAAAACCCACAAAAAUAAGCUUUUAAGGAAAUGUGUUAAUAAUUAAAAAUAAAUUUAGUGUUCUAAAUGAAGAGUACUGAUGGUGCUAAAAAGGGCAGUGACUUAAUUAUUCUUGUUGAUGUCAGUUAUUCAUUUGUGGGCCAUCAAACUAUAAACCAAGGUACUUUAUUGACUGCAAUAUUCGCUGGAUAUGUGCCAUAUUAUUCAAGCAAAACAAUGCACUGCAAAAACAAUACAGAGAAGAGGUAAUUUGUACAGAGUUCAUGAGACAAUUAUAUCAUCUAAAUACAAAACUGAGUCACUAUGCCCUUGGUUCUCUUUAUUAAAAGAGAAUUGAAGGAUAUACUAAACAUACUCAGACCCUAGUAAUUUCAAUUUGAAUCCUGCCCAUACACCCAAGCACCCAGAGACUGGUGUGAUCCAGCACAUGGAUCAUGAGUCCCAAAGAAGGAUGCAUUGGUGUGGGACUCAGGAUACUACUUCAUUUUCCUGUGUGCUGGAAGUUAAACUACUGCCCCAUUUUCCUGAGAAGAGCUUUGAAACUCACUCAAUAUCAUAGAACAACGUGAAAACACACACACAAAAAAGUACUUAUUUCAAAAGAGGACAGCAGUUUGAAAGCUGUCUAUAUUUUACAGGCUUCAGUGG